Molecule: ribosomal RNA, 219 nt
Filed under: uncultured bacterium
Lineage: Bacteria
Description: partial 16S ribosomal RNA
Rfam family: Bacterial small subunit ribosomal RNA
Source: RNAcentral
GACAGUCUCAGUUCGGAUUGAAGGCUGAAAUUCGCCUUCAUGAAGCCGGAAUUGCUAGUAAUGGCAGGUCAGCAUACUGCCGUGAAUACGUUCCCGGGCCUUGUACACACCGCCCGUCACACCAUGAGAGUUGGGAAUACCCGAAGCCUGUGAGCUAACUUUUAGAGGCAGCAGUCGAAGGUAGAAUCAAUGAUUGGGGUGAAGUCGUAACAAGGUAUC